RNAcentral lists this ribosomal RNA (497 nucleotides) under uncultured bacterium. RNAcentral describes it as "partial 16S ribosomal RNA". It matches the Rfam family "Bacterial small subunit ribosomal RNA", at positions 28 to 506 of the family's 1533-position model. The record is from RNAcentral.
GAUGAACGCUGGCGGCGUGCCUAAUACAUGCAAGUCGAGCGAACAGACGAGGAGCUUGCUCCUCUGACGUUAGCGGCGGACGGGUGAGUAACACGUGGAUAACCUACCUAUAAGACUGGGAUAACUUCGGGAAACCGGAGCUAAUACCGGAUAAUAUAUUGAACCGCAUGGUUCAAUAGUGAAAGACGGUUUUGCUGUCACUUAUAGAUGGAUCCGCGCCGCAUUAGCUAGUUGGUAAGGUAACGGCUUACCAAGGCAACGAUGCGUAGCCGACCUGAGAGGGGGGACCGCCCAACCGGAAACGGGGAACAGGCCCAACUCCUCACGGGAGGAAGGAGGAGGAAAUUUUCCGCAAGGGGCGAAAGGUGAGCGGGGAAACGCCGCGUGAGGAAAGAAGGGUUUGGGAUCGUAAAACUUUUUUUUUGGGGAAGAACAAAUGGGUAAGUAAUUUUGCCCGUUUGAAAGGUACCUAAGAAGAAGGCCGGGGCAAACUACGG